This 52-nucleotide ribosomal RNA is filed under the name Mattirolomyces terfezioides. RNAcentral's name for it is "partial 28S ribosomal RNA". Lineage: Eukaryota; Fungi; Ascomycota; Pezizomycetes; Pezizales; Pezizaceae. The record is from RNAcentral.
UCGACCUCAGAUCAGGUAGGGAUACCCGCUGAACUUAAGCAUAUCAAUAAGC